Zalophus californianus (California sea lion) is the source of this 107-nucleotide small nuclear RNA. The record is from Ensembl. Lineage: Eukaryota; Metazoa; Chordata; Mammalia; Carnivora; Otariidae.
GUGCUUGCCUCAGCAGCACAUAUACUAAAAUGGGAAAGAUACAGAGAAGAUUAAGAUAGCCCCUGCACAAGGAUGACACACAAAUUCAUGAAUUAUUCCAUAUUUUU